CAUUGGUGCAUUAACAGAUAAUAACUAGACUAUUAAAAUUAAUUUUUAGUAAUAAAAUACUAAUGCAAAGAUUUUCCUUUUUUUAAAGAUGAAUCCAAUAAAGAAACAGCUAACCUACAAGAAAGAGGUAUAAGCAAUGUAAGUGUUAGUUUUCUUAUCAAGAUGCAUCCUUUAGGAAAAACCUUACUAAAUGAUCAGUUGACCAUCCUUUCAACUUUAAUUUUAUUACUCCUAGGACGAUGGUGAUGAGAAAACCGUAGCAAGUGCACGUCGGAGAGGAAGGAAGCCCAAGCGUUCGCUCACGCUGUCAGAUGAUGCUGAAUUCUCAGAGCCAGAAAGAAAACGCCAGAAAUCAGUUUCUGAAGCAACUGAGGACAAAAAAGAUCAGGAGUCUGAUGAGGAAGAGGAAGAAGAGGAAGAGGAUGAGCCCCCUGGAGCCACCACAAGAUCUACCACGAGAUCAGAGGCUCAGAGAUCAAAGACACAGCUCUCCCCUUCUACUAAACGCAAGAGAGAAGUCAGUCCUCCUGGGGCCCGGACAAGAGGCCAGCAAAGAGUAGAAGAAGCUCCUGUGAAAAAGGCGAAGCGGUAACCUGACCCUCCCCUGGCAGCUUGAGGAGCACAGUGGAGAGGUGAUGAUCAUCCUCAUGGGCUGUAGGCUUUUUUUCCCCCAACCAAGAAAAGGAUAUGCAUGUGCUGUAAGUUCCUAGGUGCAAGCUUUUUCUUGUUAUGUUUUAAACAGCUUUAUAAACUAUUGUUCAUAGAAGAUAUUAUGUACAUUUAUUUCAGAUAAAGGAAAGUAAGUUUACUUUGUAUCUGAACUCAAAACAAAGGAGUUGUAUAUUUUAACAUUCAAAAUUGGGAUUUCCCAAUGUGACACAUCACUAAUGCAAACCCUUCCAGCCAUCAGACACCAGGCUGCCUACUGGUGAUCUGUGUAUAGUAUAUGAACAUGUAAAAAUAGGUUGUAUUUUACUCUAUGUAUGAUGCUAAUCAAUGAACACUUUAUUUAUUUUACAGAGAAAACUUAUCCGUGAACUUUACUAUAUCUGUUUAUUUUAUUUUAUUAUUUUUUUUUUAAUAAAAAAAGGGUUUUAAAUGCUAUGCA
Long non-coding RNA from Marmota marmota marmota (Alpine marmot), 1108 nucleotides. The record is from Ensembl. NCBI's taxonomy places the organism in Eukaryota, Metazoa, Chordata, Mammalia, Rodentia, Sciuridae.